GUGGCCGAGAGUAUAGGCGGCGGAUUGUAAAUUCGUCGAGGGGAGUUUGAGUCUCCCUUU
RNAcentral lists this transfer RNA (60 nucleotides) under Stenocercus caducus. Its description in RNAcentral is "partial tRNA-Tyr". It matches the Rfam family "tRNA", at positions 8 to 63 of the family's 71-position model. Rfam says of the family: Transfer RNA (tRNA) molecules are approximately 80 nucleotides in length. Their secondary structure includes four short double-helical elements and three loops (D, anti-codon, and T loops). Further hydrogen bonds mediate the characteristic L-shaped molecular structure. tRNAs have two regions of fundamental functional importance: the anti-codon, which is responsible for specific mRNA codon recognition, and the 3' end, to which the tRNAs corresponding amino acid is attached (by aminoacyl-tRNA synthetases). tRNAs cope with the degeneracy of the genetic code in two manners: having more than one tRNA (with a specific anti-codon) for a particular amino acid; and 'wobble' base-pairing, i.e. permitting non-standard base-pairing at the 3rd anti-codon position. Lineage: Eukaryota; Metazoa; Chordata; Lepidosauria; Squamata; Tropiduridae. The record is from RNAcentral.